Xiphophorus hellerii (green swordtail) is the source of this 2705-nucleotide long non-coding RNA. RefSeq lists it as uncharacterized. NCBI's taxonomy places the organism in Eukaryota, Metazoa, Chordata, Actinopteri, Cyprinodontiformes, Poeciliidae. The transcript has 2 exons. The record is from RefSeq and is a predicted model, not a curated record.
UGUUUUAGAAGUACUGCAAAAACAGUUAACUUUAAUUAGCUUCAUUUUUUUUCAAAUAGCUCAUAUAGCAUAAAAAACUGUAAAAACAAUGAACUUAGCUUUAUUUUUUUUUUAAUUGUUCUUUUUGAAAAACUGUAAAAGCAACUAACCUUAAUUAUCUGUAUUUUGUAAAAAUUGCUCCUUUUUUUGAUUUUUCGGCUGAAGUGGCUUAGUUAGAGCCACUAUGGAGGCUCUUAGGAGCCACUUGUGGGUCUGGAGCCGCAGAUUGCUGACCUCUGCUUUAGUCCAUAGUCCUGGUUCCUGUGUUUCGCUUUCUUCUUUUCAGCUUUUCUAAAGGAUUCAGGUCUGGAGACUGAGAUGGACAUGGAAGAAAGUUGAAUAAUUUCUGUUAAUUAUGUUUUGAAUCAGUGUCCCCAAAUAACCCAUUUGUUUAUUUUAAUUGAAUUAAUAGAAAUCAACAACUAGAUACAAGCAGCAAUUUUUAACCCCCGUAAAAAUGUCCUCAAAUUAUUAUUUUAGGGCAAGAUUAUGUUACUGCAAUAAAUGUAAAUAAAAUGAAAUCAAUUUUUAAGCAUCUUUUCCAGUGGUUCCCACAAAUGCGUCCAUGUCUGUAAAUGUUUGUUGGGAAAAAAAAAAAUUAAAAAAGUUGAGACAACUAGACACUAUAAUGUCUGAGAACAAAAAAAAUGCUUUUAUCAAAAUACAAGAAACAUAAAACAUUUAAUAGUAAGCAUAAAAAAAGCAAACAUAGUUUCAGCCUCUCGUAGAAAUGUAACCGGAGCAUUUCAACACAGUUUUUGAAUUUGUUUGUAGCUGUGUGCAAUAGUCAGAGACAUCAAAGCUAAUUUGGUUUCUCAGAUAUAAGAAGACACAAGAUGAAUGUCGCUCCCUGAACACAACAUGCCUGGAAUAAAAUAUUAAAGACAUUUAUCAGCAACAACAAAAUGUUAGAGAGAUGAGAUUUAUCCAGCUUCAUUAUUUAAAAAAACAAAAAGUAAAAUCUUGCCCAACACAAAGUGACUUAUCUGUCUUUGGUCUUGUAUUGUUACAUAUCUAUGCUUAUCAUAUUGCUGGCUUGAGAGUUUGGCAACAACCUCUGUGGUUAAUUUAUUGCACCGGCUCAAAUUCAAGAUAAUUAAUAACAUCAGAAACAAAGCAUUUACUUUGAAAUUAAUAAGCAUUAUAUGAUCUGAAGAGAUCAUAAGAAGUGUAAUUUUGGCUGGUGCUAUGCAAUUACUAUGUUACAAUGUGUGUGUGUGUGUGUGUGGGUGUGUGUGGGCGUGUGAGUGAGUGAGAAACGUUUAGAUCCAACAAGAACAAAUACAGCUUAGUGAAAAUCCUGACAACUUUAGUUUUGCCUUUUUGAUGGCUUUUAAUCUGAUUCUAAAUACUUUGUUUUUAAUAUGGAAGACUUCAGUCCUUUUGGUACUCAACACAAGUCUUUCAUUUGAUCAGUUUUUAUUCUGUUAGCAAAGAACUGUAAUAUUUUAUCUCACUAAAAUAUCACCUGGUGCUUCAGGAGGACACCCGUUUACUGCUGAUGCUGGAUGAUCAUUUUUGAUCAAUUAACAAUCGUUCCAAUUAAUUCAUCUUUGAGAUGAGGCUUUUAAGUCUAAAUAACUUCUUCAGUAAUGUUUUCUAACUUGUAACCAGAGCCGGCCCAAGGUAUAGGCAAACUCAUGGGACAUUUAAUUCGUCUCUGAUGUCAAACUUUGGAACGAUUUGACCCCGAAGUUGAACACGCUCCAGUCACAAUCUGAUCUGUGGGAUCAGCUAACUACUAUUAAUACAAUGCAUUUUCUCUAUUUUAUACAUUAAACACUAAAGUAACAUGAUAGUUUGUACAACAUUGUGUACGAUACCGGUUUACUUAGAUACAAAUUGUCAGAAGUACUAAUAGAUAUUUUAUAUCUGUGACUUUUAAAAUAUUUUAGAUAAACAACCCAAAACUGUUGACUUUCCCAAUUCUGAGUUGAUUUCAAAAUGACAUAUUUAUCAACAAUCAACCUGCUUUUAAAUUUUCUCUAAAGGCUUCUGGACAUCAAAUUUAAAACGAAAGCCCUUUACAUUUAAAAAGUAGCUUUAUUAGUUUAUUAAUUUAUAGAUUUAAAACAUCCUAAGUUUAAGCGGGUCAGUGAUGGCUCUCCAGAUCAAAGCCCGCUUUGGACAACUUUGGACCGGCUCUGCAUGCAUCCAGUGUGUUCAGCGUAAACCGAUGAUACUGCAUAUUCAAUUUAAAAUGCAUCUUUUUGAGAGUUUCAUCUAUUAAAUUUAUUUUUAAUAGUUUAUAAAUGUAGCUUUAAACAUGGAAUUUGUGUAAAUGUGGAAAGCUACUAUUUUUGGCAUUAUUUUAAAAUCUUUGUUUCUUUAUCCCAUCUGCGCUUUCGAGCUUGAAUUGUUGAAAAUGGCACACACACGCCCACACACACACGCACCCGCCCCCCUCACACACACGCACUCGCCCCCCUCACACACACACCCUCCUGAGUAUAUUUAUUUUAAUAUCUGUUUAAAUAUCUUUACUUGCAAUAUCACAAGUUCUUUCUUGACUUUAUGUGACUGGGAUUUUUAGUUUUGCAGAAACUGUUACACAGAAAGGUGAGACAGAAUCAACCUGAGAGUGAAGGAUGACCCCUCUGAAGAUUUAAAGAUUUUAAUGGGGGGUCAGAAAUAUUAAUAUAGAUUUAUUAAAAGGAUGAGAGAUA